This 253-nucleotide ribosomal RNA is filed under the name uncultured bacterium. RNAcentral describes it as "partial 16S ribosomal RNA". It matches the Rfam family "Bacterial small subunit ribosomal RNA", at positions 524 to 776 of the family's 1533-position model. The record is from RNAcentral.
UACAGAGGGGGCGAGCGUUGUCCGGAAUCACUGGGCGUAAAGGGCGCGUAGGCGGCCUGGUAAGUAGGGGGUGAAAUCUUGCGGCUCAACUGCAAGGCUGCCUCCUAAACUGUCAGGCUUGAGCACAGUAGAGGCAGGUGGGAUUCCCGGUGUAGCGGUGGAAUGCGUAGAGAUCGGGAAGAACAUCGGUGGCGAAGGCGGCCUGCUGGGCUGUUGCUGACGCUGAGGCGCGACAGCGUGGGGAGCAAACAGG